Molecule: ribosomal RNA, 546 nt
Filed under: uncultured bacterium
Lineage: Bacteria
Description: bacterial SSU rRNA
Rfam family: Bacterial small subunit ribosomal RNA
Source: RNAcentral
GGGGAAUAUUGCACAAUGGGGGGAACCCUGAUGCAGCCAUGCCGCGUGAAUGAAGAAGGCCUUCGGGUUGUAAAGUUCUUUCGGUAGCGAGGAAGGCAUUUAGUUUAAUAGACUAGGUGAUUGACGUUAACUACAGAAGAAGCACCGGCUAACUCCGUGCCAGCAGCCGCGGUAAUACGGGGGGUGCGAGCGUUAAUCGGAAUAACUGGGCGUAAAGGGCACGCAGGCGGUGACUUAAGUGAGAUGUGAAAGCCCCGGGCUUAACCUGGGAAUUGCAUUUCAUACUGGGUCGCUAGAGUACUUUAGGGAGGGGUAGAAUUCCACGUGUAGCGGUGAAAUGCGUAGAGAUGUGGAGGAAUACCGAAGGCGAAGGCAGCCCCUUGGGAAUGUACUGACGCUCAUGUGCGAAAGCGUGGGGAGCAAACAGGAUUAGAUACCCUGGUAGUCCACGCUGUAAACGAUGUCGAUUUGGGGGUUGGGCUUUAAGCUUGGCGCCCGUAGCUAACGUGAUAAAUCGACCGCCUGGGGAGUACGGCCGCAAGGUUA